UUUCAAUGAUAGAUAUUUAAUCCAUUUAUCUAUACUAAAUACUUGAGAUAUUUUGAAAUUUUUUUUUCAACAGAAACACAAUUGAAUUUCAAAAUAACUAGCUAUAUAUAGUGUAAAGAUACCAUCUACGGUGUGUGUUAAAACAAAAACAAAAUAUUUAUGCUUAGAGGAAUAGUAUCAGUUCGAAGAUCGUUGGAUACAAACAUUGUAAGUUGAUUCUUUUUUUUUUAUUUGAAAAGUUUAAAAUUUAAAACAUUUUUAACAUUUUACUACGUUCCACAAUUUGUAUUUUAGUUGUUUUUAAUAGUUUGUAUAGUUGUAUAGAAUGAUAUAGUGGCUCAUACGCCUGUUUAGGCUUGAUAUCUGUCAUAUUUUAUUAUUGUGCAAUGAAAUUGUAUAUCAUAUAAACUUAGUAGACGAAUAUCACAUUUUAAGUGCCCUGCCCCCCCCCCAAAAAAAAGAGGCACAUUAUACUGGAUAACCAUAUACAUAUAUAAUCAAUCACAUGUUGAAGGGUUUUAAACAGGGAAUAUUGAUCUUUGAUGAAUUAUGGAAAUAUUUUGUCACAAAGUUUUAUACUGAAAUUGUAUCUAUAUAUGUGACGUUACUACAAAAAUAUAAGCUAGUGCUUUGGAAGCGUACAUACAAAACAUAAAAGUGAAAAGCAAGCGCGACCUGUAUCAGUCUAACAACUGUAAAAUCUAUGCAGCUCAGAUCAGAAAUGCAUAUUCUUAUGUUAUAUAACAGUUUCUAUGAACAAAUGUUUUCAAGCUUUAGAAUUGUCUCUGUCUAAAUCUAACAAAAUGUGUUCAAAGUUUAAGUAAAGAAAGCGCUUUUUCAUAUACCCGAUAUUUGACACAAAAAUCAACUGUUUCUUUCAUCUGGCGAGGAAAAGUACUUUUACAGUAUGUGUUUUUGUUUUCUUGUCCAUUCUUUCUGUAUUUACAUUAACGGUUGAUACUUAAUGAUCUCUUUAAAAUUAUUUGACUACCGGAAAAUACAAAUAUUAGCACAAACUAAAAUAUAUGACAUCUUUAUUAUAUAUUCUAAACAGGACACAUUUAGUUUUGGAAUAUUUGUUCGAUUAAUAAAUAACGAAUUUAUUACUUUUAUGAUUUAAUACCUAGUGCCCUUGUCUGCAGUUUAUAAUAUCCAUAAUAAUAAUAUUAAUAAAAAAAAACUAAUCAAUUGUAAUAACAAUAAAUUGUUUGCAAUAGAACGAAUAUAGAUGUGUAGUCAAAUUGAAUAUUUUGUAGAACAUGUAUACAUGUACCAUCGUAAUCGAGCAAAACGAAAUUGGUGGUGAUAAUCUUUAACCAGGCUCCUGGUGUAUAAAAAAGGGGGAAGCGUGAAAUUUAAUCUUGUUAAAAAUCGUACUGAAACAUACACCAGUAUAAUACUUUUCAUCCUUUAUGAUAUAAAAGUAAACACUAAACGCCCAAGGAAGUGCGUAUCAAUUGAUUUAAACUUUUAUGGAUUCUAUCAAAACUAAAAUCUGACAUAUCCUUUUAAGAACAACAAAUUGAUUUGUUAGAAUUGCCAUUUUUCGGAGUUUAAUCAGAUGUCAUGGAAAUGUGAAUGAGAAUAGAAAUAUAUAUCUUCUUACAUGCUGUCUUGUUUCAAUGCUUGUCAAAAGUAAUGUCAAGUAUAACAUAACACGAUAGUCGUUCAUUUUGUCCCGAAAGUAAAUUUGAAAAAAUAAUAUUUUUAAAAUCACAUUAAAUUCGUUCGUUAACUUGUGUCAACAUAACAUACAUUUGUACAUGAAAUCCGGUGACCAAUGUAUUUAUUCAUACUGUAAUCAGAUAUGUAAAUAUUUUAUUUCAUAUUUUGAGAUACUUAAUAUAUCAGAUAGAUGUCAAUUUGGGAUUUAAAUACUUGAAAAAAAAACAUAAGAAAAAUAAGGAAAUAAAGAUAGAGAAAAAAAAAACAAUCCAAGUAGACUGACAAACAAACAUUUUGUAAACAUAUGUUUCAAAACGUUUUAAGCAAAAUUCAUUUGAUAAAAUACAAUAUUCAGAACUCUAGAAAUAAACAAAUUAAAAUUUUAUCAGACGAAUGUAAGAAAUUGAACAUAACGAAACGCAUGUGUUUAACACGACGUAUGUUUUCUCUACGUUUUCUUAUUUGGAUGAUUCUAUACAUUGUUUCUGCUAGUGUGAUAUAUAUAAAAAUAUGUGUUUGUUUGCCAUUAUACUUUUUUGUUAAUCUAUAAAUCUUUGUGGAAUGUCCUUGGCAGAAACAACCAACUAUGUCCUUUUAUAAACCACAAGAAACAACUACUAAGUUCCUCCUCUCACUUACAAAAAGACGGGAAAAAAUAAUAAUAAUAAAAUCAACACAUACACGUAAAUCUAAACAACAAAUAUUCAGAAACAAACGAACAAACACCAAACAAAUAAUCAGAUACAAAACAAACAAAUGCGACAACAAAAUACCGCAAAAACUGAACAUACCAAAGAAACAAAACAACGUAAAACUUCCUGGUGGAAAGAGUAUACAAUAUGUAUGGUUAACAAGAUCUUCGGGAAGUGAAAUAGGACCAUAUUGUCUAUAAGAGUUAUCUGAUCAUGAAUACACUUUGACCUUAAUUGAUCAAUACAAACAAAGGCAAAAUUAUGCUUUCAUAGAUCUGCAGAAUACUACAAGGUUUAGAUAAUUAAAACGAUAAAUAAUAAAUUAUUAGAAUCUUUUUAAUUGAAUUGUAUGCGUUUCGUGGGUUAAAAUACGACAUAUGGCAUUUACAAAAUAGCUAAAUCCUUUAUUUUUGUGAUACAAAAAAAAAAAAACUACGCAAUAUGGGACAAAUUGUAAAUCGUAUAAAAUCUGAAACAGGAAGUUGUCACAAAUCGAUUUAACUAAUCAACAAAGAUGAUUAAAAUCUAUGGAAAAUAUAUGUCGUCCAUGAGUUCUUACACUUUUAUAUUCUAUCAAAUACCAAUAAAGGUAUCUUUACGAUUAGAUGUCACGAAACUGACUUUUUGAUUCAAAGUACUAGUCAGUCCAUGUAUAUAUUUUUGUUUUUUCAUAAAACCAUUAAGCGAGGUUAUGUCAAGUGCCGUAUGUCAUGAUUUAAAUGAGACCUCGUGUGUAUACCCUGUAUCAAAAUUCGAAUCAAUUUUCAAAUAUCUGGACCUCUUGUUUUUGAGACAUAAUCAUCAUCACACACGGUUGAAGUAAUGCUUUUUUUUAAUUAUUAAAGUCAAGCACUGGAUGACACGAUAUUAUUGAGACCUCGUGUGAAAACCUUGUGUUUGAAAAUUAAAAUUAAUUUUCAAAUGUCUGCGCUUUCUUUUUUUUUAUAGAAAACCAUCACACGUGGUUUAGGUAAUACAAUUUUUUUCGUUUGUAUUUAUUAGAAAUUCUGUGAAUGAUAAUGAAAUCGAGAUCGAUUGCCUAAUGUAACUGUAUCUUUUGUUAUACACCUGUAAUUGGUAUUGAACAAUUAAUUUUCCACAGGAAUCAAUGAUUCCAAAGUUGGCAAAUAUUCUAUUGAUUAGCCAUUUUUAUUUGUUCGUCUAUCUGGAACUAGACCAGAGUUAAAACUCGAUAUUUUCUAAAGUUAUACAAUUCAGGAAGACCAAUGUAAAGUGCGAAGAAGAAGCAUCAGCCAUGUAAGAUUACAUUAAAUUUGUUGGAUGCAAUUGCAGCAAGGCUAUAUUUACGAUAAAGUCGGUUUCACGCUUUAUUGCCGACCAGACAAGACAUAUUAAUUGACGUGCGAAAAAUAAUAGUGAACGUUUAAAUUAAUGUCUAAUAAUUUGUAAAUGUGAAUAUAAUUUUACACUAUUGUGCAAUUAAGUAAUUGUAUUUCACAUGUUUUUUUUCAGAAAUAAUAAAACGGAUUAAGCCUAGACGAAGACGAUGGGUUGUUUACUUACAGUCGGACGAAUAUUUUGUGUUGUCGUCAAUCUAUUGUUUUUGGUAA
This 3928-nucleotide long non-coding RNA is filed under the name Mytilus galloprovincialis (Mediterranean mussel). Lineage: Eukaryota; Metazoa; Mollusca; Bivalvia; Mytilida; Mytilidae. The record is from RNAcentral.